AAGGCAGAGCAGGAGCAGGUGUCUUCCAUGGCAGGAGAGGGACUCAGAGAGAUGGGGAGGGAGAUGCCACACACAUUUUUUUUUUUUUUUUUUUGAGAUGGAGCCUUGCUCUGUCACCAAGCUGGAGUGCAAUAGUGAUGUCUUGGCUCACCGCACCCUCUGAUUCCCGGGUUUAAGCGAUUCUCCUGCCUCAGCCUCCCAAGUAGCUGGGAUUACAGGCACAUGCCGCCUAAUUUUUGUAUUUUUAGUAGAGAUGGGGUUUCACCAUGUUGACCAGGAUGGUCUCGAUCUCCUGACCUCGUGAUCCACCUGACUCGGCCUCCCAAAGUGCUAGGAUUACAGGCGUGAGUCACUGCGCCCGGCCACCACACACUUUUAAAACAACCAGAGCUUGCAAGAGAACUAUUGUGAGAAUAGCCCUACAGGGAUGGUGCUAAACCAUUCAUGAAGGCUCUGCCCCCACGGUCCAGUCACCUCCUCUGGCCCCACCUCCAGCGUUGAGGAUUGCAUUUCAACAUGAAAUUUGGGCGGAGACACAGAUCCAAAGCACAUCAGGGAUGCAUGAGAAGAGGCUUCACCCUCUGCCGGAUCAGGUGGAGGUUUGGCUGGGACACCCAGAGGGCAGUCAUCCUCAAGCUGCAGGGUGUCCCACUGGGGGAUGCGGAGAAGCCACCGAUCAGGCAGAUGCGACACUCCCCCCAGCAUGGCUCCUGCGGGAAGGAGAGCAAACACAAAGGGAACACAGCACUUUACAGCUUAUAAAACCCUUUCCCUACCAUUGGUCCUGGGCUGUCAAAACAACCAAGUGACCUCAGCCAAGAGGCACAGUGCACCUCAUCCUUAGAUGAGUCCAGCGAGGCUCAGACAGAGGCAGCAGCCUGCUCAGAGACACACGAAUUGCCUGGGACCGAGGCCGCCACUUCCCAGCAAAGUGUUUCCUCUUGGGAGAUCCUGGGUACAUGCAAAGCCAAGCAGCAGACAGAUCAGUUUCUAAUCCCAGCUCUGUGACCUUGAGCAAGUGACUUCCCCUCUCUGUGCCUCAAUGUCCUCCUCUCUAAAAUGAAAGUGUUACCGUGAGGGAUUAAAUGCAAUGAGUGUGUCCCUGCAGCAGCCUCCUAC
RNAcentral lists this long non-coding RNA (1119 nucleotides) under Macaca mulatta (Rhesus monkey). Its description in RNAcentral is "lncRNA (ENSMMUG00000058839.1)". The record is from RNAcentral. Lineage: Eukaryota; Metazoa; Chordata; Mammalia; Primates; Cercopithecidae.